Non-coding RNA from Acanthosepion pharaonis, 113 nucleotides. NCBI's taxonomy places the organism in Eukaryota, Metazoa, Mollusca, Cephalopoda, Sepiida, Sepiidae. The record is from the annotation of a GenBank genome assembly.
UACGGCCGCAUCACGUUGAAACACCGGUUACCGCAUGACCACCGAAGUUAAGCAACGUCGAGCCUGGACACUACCUAGAUGGGUGACCGAUUGAGAAUAUCACGUGCGGUAAG